AAGCCACAAAAUCAUGUACUACAGAAAGAAGCCUGCUGUAUGCAAGACCAUGGAAAAAAUGGAUUGCAAGAUGUUGAAAAUCUGAAAAGAAAUUGGUUCUCAGCACAGAUAGUGAUGAUGUAUCAGGAUGCAUGGAACAAAGAGACUUUGAGGGAUUUUGACUGCAAUUGCUGGCACAUCCCUUGUCUUCUGCCUGUUCUUUUUCACCACCAUGCUGCAAGCAGCAGACUUCCACGGAGUGACUGACCAUCCUGGUGGGCUGCUGCGGUUUCUUGUCUUCAUCCUCUCCCUCGUGCUCUUUAACAACUUAGUAAACUUAGGUGAAAGACUCCAGGCAAAGACAUUCCGCCAAAUCAUUAACUUUUUCUUCCUUUUUUUUUGAUUCUGGCCUCCUUCACUGGUUUUAUGUUCACAUUUGGCCUCUACAAUGUCAAAGAAGAUUCUCUGUUAAAAGGACCUGGCUUCCUUUAGCUUCUUUUGAGGGCCCCAAGUUCUUGCAUUGGAAAAGAAAAUGAAUAGUUAGUGAAUGAUGCCUGUAGUUCAUCUGCUGCACAGAGUUGUCAGUGAAAAUCUGAACCCUCUAAGCAUGUUUUCAUCCACUGAAGAGAGGUAAAUGAUAUGCAAAAAAACUGCAUUAAUGCUGCACUAAAUUCAUGAUGUCAGCUGCUGUUUGCCAGCUUAUUGAACAGCAGAUGUUUGUAGCUAAGAACAACGUACCUGGAUUGAUUCGGUGAUGUCACAGAGAAGGAACGGAUGGCAUAGAGCUGUCCCUGCUCCUUUCAUUACGUCAGCAACUGGAAAUGAUGACAAUACCACGCUGGCUUAUUCCAAAUUAUGGAGACCAGUGAACAGACUAGCCUGACUGGCAAGAGAUCUCGGAAAAAGAGACUCAAGUCUGCCUCGGACAGCUACAGAGGUUAAAUGCCUCUGGAUCACGUUGCUGAUGAAAGAGACUGGAAAGUGAGAUUUGGAUAAACUUCAGAUCACCUGCUUUACAAGUGUUUUACUCUUGACUGCUCUAUCAGUGUUGAGGUCAUUUGCCAGAAGACCACUUGCCUGAUGAGUGGAAGAAGGUAUGUCCACUGCAACUGAGGGUACUUGGGUCAUCAGAGUGAUGGUCUGGCAAUCCAUGAGAGACAGGGAAUCAGAUGGGAGGGAA
Molecule: long non-coding RNA, 1159 nt
Organism: Cygnus olor (mute swan)
Lineage: Eukaryota; Metazoa; Chordata; Aves; Anseriformes; Anatidae
Exons: 8
Source: RefSeq, a predicted model, not a curated record